UAGGAAGCGAUGAUCGGGAGAGUACAGCGUUAGCAAGAUCACCAGAGAGGAAUCUCAAAGCUGAGAAGAUUCCGUUCUUGAGCCGCUGGAAAUGCCCCCGUGAGCUGUUCGACCGAAACCCAAGGGGAGUAGGGAGAGCCGGAACCCACCGUUACUGGGUUGAGCGGACGAUAAGUGCCUUGGUGGGCUUUAGUCAAACAGAGUGGAACCGCGGUCAUCACCGUCUCUGUA
RNAcentral lists this non-coding RNA (231 nucleotides) under Marininema halotolerans. RNAcentral's name for it is "T-box sequence". It matches the Rfam family "T-box leader". From Rfam's summary of the family: Uncharged tRNA acts as the effector for transcription antitermination of genes in the T-box leader family. T-boxes are found upstream of many aminoacyl-tRNA synthetase genes and some amino acid biosynthetic genes usually in Gram-positive bacteria. The record is from RNAcentral. Lineage: Bacteria; Bacillati; Bacillota; Bacilli; Caryophanales; Thermoactinomycetaceae.